This 836-nucleotide ribosomal RNA is filed under the name uncultured bacterium. RNAcentral's name for it is "bacterial SSU rRNA". It matches the Rfam family "Bacterial small subunit ribosomal RNA", at positions 31 to 887 of the family's 1533-position model. The record is from RNAcentral.
UGACGCUGGCGGCGUGCUUAACACAUGCAAGUCGAACGAUGAAGAGCAGCUUGCUGCUUGGAUUAGUGGCGCACGGGUGAGUAAUAUAUAGGUAAUGUGCCUCUUAGUCUGGGAUAGCCAUUGGAAACGAUGAUUAAUACUGGAUACUCCUUCUAACUCUAAUGUUAGUCGGGAAAGUUUUUCGCUAAGAGAUCAGCCUAUAUCCCAUCAGUUAGUUGGUAAGGUAACGGCUUACCAAGGCAAUGACGGGUAGCGGGUUUGAGAGGAUGAUCCGCCACACUGGUACUGAGACACGGACCAGACUCCUACGGGAGGCAGCAGUGAGGAAUAUUGCACAAUGGGGGAAACCCUGAUGCAGCAACGCCGCGUGGAGGAUGACGCAUUUCGGUGUGUAAACUCCUUUUAUAUGUCAAGAAAAUGACGGUAGCAUAUGAAUAAGCACCGGCUAACUCCGUGCCAGCAGCCGCGGUAAUACGGAGGGUGCAAGCGUUACUCGGAAUCACUGGGCGUAAAGGACGCGUAGGCGGAUUGGAAAGUCAGAUGUGAAAUCCUACAGCUUAACUGUAGAACUGCAUUUGAAACUUCUAAUCUAGAGUAUGGGAGGGGGAGAUGGAAUUAGUGGUGUAGGGGUAAAAUCCGUAGAUAUCACUAGGAAUACCGAAAGCGAAGGCGAUCUCCUGGAACAUUACUGACGCUAAGGCGUGAAAGCGUGGGGAGCAAACAGGAUUAGAUACCCUGGUAGUCCACGCCCUAAACGAUGAACACUAGUCGUCGGGAUGCUUGUCAUCUCGGUGAUGCACUUAACAGAUUAAGUGUUCCGCCUGGGGAGUACGGUC